Molecule: unclassified non-coding RNA, 231 nt
Filed under: Hevea brasiliensis (rubber tree)
Lineage: Eukaryota; Viridiplantae; Streptophyta; Magnoliopsida; Malpighiales; Euphorbiaceae
Source: RNAcentral
UGAAAUCUUGAUUUUUAGGGUUUUUUUUUAAUAUAUAUAAAAAAAGAGAAAAUCUUAAACCCAUUUUGUGCUAAGAGAUAAUUGGGUAUGACCACCUUAUACAUCCCUAUCUCUAGCAGAAAGGAGGUCAAAGGCAUCUCAACUGACCUUCCCAGUUGUAAUCUCUGAUGCUAGGAGCAAUGUACCUCCAAUCUGUUUGUUUAUAUGGCAUAAAGCAAACAUAGUGCCUGG